UACGGGGGGGGCAAGCGUUGUUCGGAAUUACUGGGCGUAAAGGGCUCGUAGGUGGCCAACUAAGUCAGACGUGAAAUCCCUCGGCUUAACCGGGGAACUGCGUCUGAUACUGGAUGGCUUGAGUUUGGGAGAGGGAUGCGGAAUUCCAGGUGUAGCGGUGAAAUGCGUAGAUAUCUGGAGGAACACCGGUGGCGAAGGCGGCAUCCUGGACCAACACUGACACUGAGGAGCGAAAGCGUGGGGAGCAAACAGG
This 253-nucleotide ribosomal RNA is filed under the name uncultured bacterium. RNAcentral's name for it is "partial 16S ribosomal RNA". It matches the Rfam family "Bacterial small subunit ribosomal RNA", at positions 524 to 776 of the family's 1533-position model. The record is from RNAcentral.